UCCUUAAACCAGGUUUCAUAUGGGAUGAGGUAAGAUUGAUGAAAUACGCCCCACUCCUACUCAAUGUGAAUGGUCAUUUUCUUUCUAUUUGUACCUGAUGAAACGUAACUUACUGGUGUGGUUUUGAGAACCAAAUAAUUGGUGCAUCUUCAUAAAUUUAUUCUUUUAAUCUCUUUAUUUUUAUACAAACUGUACUUAUAAUUCAACUGUUGCUGUAUCUUGGACUCUUGGUGCAGGAGGUGGAGUGGUGCUUCUUUAUGCUUCUAAAUAUGAUGAUGUUAAAUUAGUUGUCAACAUCUCUGGACGCUAUGAUCUGAAGACAGGAGUUGAAGAUAGACUUGGAAAAGAUUAUAUGGAAAGAAUCAAGAAGGACGGUUUCAUUGACGUGAAGAAUAGGUCAGUAAGUUUUAAUUACCGUGUGGCGGAGGAAAGUUUGAUGGAUCGCUUAGGUACAAAUAUUCAUGAAGCAUGCCUUAACAUUGAUAAAGAUUGCAGCAGGGAAAGCUUUCUGAAAAUGAUUCUAGGCGCUACUUUCAACAACUUAUAGAUGAUGUUGCUCAUUGGAAGAGGACACUACUUUAAUUGGUCUAACAUUCGGUGGUUACCUUAGACCAAAGAUAAAAUGCAUAAAAUGUGGAGGAAAAUCUGAGCGUCAGGAAAGGAUGAUGGAUCUUACCGUUGAGACAGAAGGGGACAUAGCAAUCCUAUAGGAAGCUCAUGAUGGAUCUUACCGUUGAGACAGAAGGGGACAUAGCAAUCCUAUAGGAAGCUCAUUUUGAGUUUAUAGGCUUGUAGACAUUUUUGUUAUUUAUAUUUGUAACAUGA
This is a non-coding RNA of Arachis ipaensis, 825 nucleotides long. NCBI's taxonomy places the organism in Eukaryota, Viridiplantae, Streptophyta, Magnoliopsida, Fabales, Fabaceae. The record is from RefSeq and is a predicted model, not a curated record.